GGUCGUGUGGCCCAGAGGUUAAGGCAUCGCCUUUACAUCCAUUCGAAUGGAUACGGCGAGGAUCGCAGGUUCGAUCCCUGCCACGAUCA
Dactylonectria macrodidyma is the source of this 89-nucleotide non-coding RNA. The record is from the annotation of a GenBank genome assembly. Lineage: Eukaryota; Fungi; Ascomycota; Sordariomycetes; Hypocreales; Nectriaceae.